Molecule: long non-coding RNA, 728 nt
Organism: Myodes glareolus (Bank vole)
Lineage: Eukaryota; Metazoa; Chordata; Mammalia; Rodentia; Cricetidae
Source: RefSeq, a predicted model, not a curated record
CUGGCCUCUCUGUUCCGGUAGCCAGAUUCGUUUUCUGAUCUCCGUGCAAACAGAGGAUUCUGAUUUGGGAGAAUGAAUGAGAAGUUGGCAGAGAAUGUACUUAUUCCUCAGAGAAUGCCACUGUGAGGAGGCCAUAUUGAAUUUCAUAGAAUGGAUUUGAGAAUGGAGGACAAGACUGUUUGACCCAAAGCCGGCGCUGAAAGGGAAUAUUUUCAUUUCUACAAGGAGAACGGAAAGUGAGAAGGAGUCCAAAUGUUCACUGGCUGUUUGUCAUGCAGACUUGUCGUGGGUCCCAGCCCUGGAGUCUAGUAAGAGCAAGAGUGAAGAAUGCCCUUUGAAUUUUGGAUGAAGGAGCGUGUUGGGAGACGCCGUGAGAGGUUCCAGGAGGCAUCUGUUAGGGAGAGACCAGUGCGCAGUGGGUUGAAGUCAGAAGGAGACUGCAGACUACUUUCCAGCUAAAUGAUCUCAGCUUGGGGAAUGGUGCCGCCCACAGAGGACGCAUCUUCUGACCUCAACCGAUCUAAUCAAGAUCUUUCACAAGAAUGCCCAGGCUCAUCAUCCGGGCAUUCUGGAACUCGUCAGAUUGAUAGCUGAGAUUGACCAAUACGGUGCCACAGUUUGGGACUGAACAAAAAUAUGCUCACCGGAGUUCUAUUUCUGGAAAAUCUAAUUUGGUAAGACCGACAUAGAGCCUAGAUUUAUCAAGCUUCAAUAAACUUCAAACUAUU